This 497-nucleotide ribosomal RNA is filed under the name uncultured bacterium. RNAcentral describes it as "partial 16S ribosomal RNA". It matches the Rfam family "Bacterial small subunit ribosomal RNA", at positions 28 to 507 of the family's 1533-position model. The record is from RNAcentral.
GAUGAACGCUGGCGGCGUGCCUAAUACAUGCAAGUCGAGCGAACAGACCCGGCGCUUGCUCCUCUGACGUUAGCGGCGGACGGGUGAGUAACACGUGGAUAACCUACCUAUCAGUCUGGUAUAACUUCGGGAAUCCGGCGCUAAUCCCGGAUAAUAUAUUGAACCGCAUGGUUCAAUAGUGAAAUACGGUUUUGCUGUCACUUAUAGAUGGAUCCGCGCCGCAUUAGAUAGUUGGUAAGGUAACGGCUUACCAAGGCGACGAUGCGUAGACGACCUGAGAGAGUGAUCGGCCGCAUGAGAGCGUGACCGCGGACCAGAAGACUAAGAGAGGCAGCAGAAGGGAAUCGUACGCAGUAGGCGAAAGCAUGACGGAGCAAGGCCGAGUGAGAGAUAAAGGUGUUGGGAGCGUAAAAAUGUGUUACGAGGGAAGAACAAAUGUGUAAGGAAAUAUGCAGGGAGUGACGGUAACGAAUCAGAAAGCAACGGCUAACUACGUG